Molecule: unclassified non-coding RNA, 296 nt
Organism: Callithrix jacchus (white-tufted-ear marmoset)
Lineage: Eukaryota; Metazoa; Chordata; Mammalia; Primates; Cebidae
Rfam family: Metazoan signal recognition particle RNA
About the family: The signal recognition particle (SRP) is a universally conserved ribonucleoprotein. It is involved in the co-translational targeting of proteins to membranes. The eukaryotic SRP consists of a 300-nucleotide 7S RNA and six proteins: SRPs 72, 68, 54, 19, 14, and 9.
Source: Ensembl
UCUGGGCAUGGUGGCACGCACCUAUAGUCCCAGCUACUUGGGAGGCUAAGGUGGGAGGAUCGCUUGAGCCCAGGAGUUCUCGGCUGUACUGCGCUAUGCCGAUCGGGUGUCCGCACUAAGUUCAGCAUCAAUAUGGUGACCUCCCCAGAGCGGGGGACCACCAGGUUGCCUAGGGGUGAACCGGCCCAGGUUGGAAAUGGAGCAGGUCAAAACUCCGAUGCUGAUCAGUAGUGGGAUAGCACCUGUGAAUAGCCACUGCACUCCAGCCUGGGCAAUAUAGCAAGACCCCCUCUCUU